RNAcentral lists this ribosomal RNA (200 nucleotides) under uncultured bacterium. RNAcentral describes it as "partial 16S ribosomal RNA". It matches the Rfam family "Bacterial small subunit ribosomal RNA", at positions 8 to 227 of the family's 1533-position model. The record is from RNAcentral.
AGAGUUUGAUCCUGGCUCAGGAUAAACGCUGGCGGCGUGCCUAACACAUGCAAGUCGAACGCCCUCACGCAAGUGAGGGAGUGGCGGACGGGUGAGGAACGCGUGGGUUAUCUACCUUGAGGUGAGGAAUACCGGCGAGAAAUCGCCGACAAGACCGCAUACGCUCGGCAACGAGCAAAGUCGUAAGACGCCACAAGAUG